Molecule: long non-coding RNA, 396 nt
Filed under: Rattus norvegicus (Norway rat)
Lineage: Eukaryota; Metazoa; Chordata; Mammalia; Rodentia; Muridae
Description: long non-coding RNA NONRATT024407
Source: RNAcentral
CUGGGGUGGAAAAUUAUUACGCGGACUAGGGGAGUUGGGGUGAGGCAGGAUUUCGUGGAUCUGAGAUAACCACACGUGAUCGCAAAGCCUAGCGAUACAGGCCGGUUUGAAUGAGCAGUACCGGGCCCAGCAUGGGUAUGACUCAAGGUUGACUGGAGCUCAGAAAAUCUGGAGGAAGGAAGCACAGCAGCGUGCAGACAGACCAGGUGCUGGAGGAGCUGAGAUUUCUACAUCGUGAUCCAAUUCCAGCCAGAGGAGUCUCUUCUGCAGGCAGCCACGAGGAGGGUCUGUUCCACACUGGGCAGAGCCUGAGCAUAGGAGGAGACCUCCAAGUCCACCCCUACAGUGACACACUUCUUCCAACAAGGCCACACCCCCAAACAAUGCCACCCCUGU